AUACAGAGGGGGCAAGCGUUGUUCGGAAUUACUGGGCGUAAAGGGCGCGUAGGCGGCCUGCUAAGUCGAACGUGAAAUCCCUGGGCUCAACCCAGGAACUGCGUCCGAUACUGGUUGGCUUGAAUCCGGGAGAGGGAUGCGGAAUUCCAGGUGUAGCGGUGAAAUGCGUAGAUAUCUGGAGGAACACCGGUGGCGAAGGCGGCAUCCUGGACCGGCAUUGACGCUGAGGCGCGAAAGCCAGGGGAGCAAACGGGAUUAGAUACCCCGGUAGUCCUGGCCCUAAACGAUGAAUGCUUGGUGUGGUGGGUAUCGAUCCCUGCCGUGCCGAAGCUAACGCAUUAAGCAUUCCGCCUGGGGAGUACGGUCGCAAGGCUGAAACUCAAAUGAAUUGACGGGG
This 397-nucleotide ribosomal RNA is filed under the name uncultured bacterium. RNAcentral's name for it is "partial 16S ribosomal RNA". It matches the Rfam family "Bacterial small subunit ribosomal RNA", at positions 523 to 918 of the family's 1533-position model. The record is from RNAcentral.